GAUGAACGCUAGCUACAGGCUUAACACAUGCAAGUCGAGGGGCAGCGGGAUUGAAGCUUGCUUCAAUUGCCGGCGACCGGCGCACGGGUGAGUAACGCGUAUCCAACCUUCCGUACACUCAGGGAUAGCCUUUCGAAAGAAAGAUUAAUACCUGAUGGUAUCUUAAGCACACAUGUAAUUAAGAUUAAAGAUUUAUCGGUGUACGAUGGGGAUGCGUUCCAUUAGGUAGUAGGCGGGGUAACGGCCCACCUAGCCUACGAUGGAUAGGGGUUCUGAGAGGAAGGUCCCCCACAUUGGAACUGAGACACGGUCCAAACUCCUACGGGAGGCAGCAGUGAGGAAUAUUGGUCAAUGGACGAGAGUCUGAACCAGCCAAGUAGCGUGAAGGAUGAAGGUCCUACGGAUUGUAAACUUCUUUUAUAAGGGAAUAAAACCUCCCACGUGUGGGAGCUUGUAUGUACCUUAUGAAUAAGCAUCGGCUAACUCCGUG
Molecule: ribosomal RNA, 490 nt
Filed under: uncultured bacterium
Lineage: Bacteria
Description: bacterial SSU rRNA
Rfam family: Bacterial small subunit ribosomal RNA
Source: RNAcentral